GAUGAACGCUGGCGGCGUGCCUAACACAUGCAAGUCGAGCGAAGCACUUUGAUUGGAUUCUUCGGAUGAAGAUAAUUGUGACUGAGCGGCGGACGGGUGAGUAACGCGUGGGCAACCUGCCUUACACAGGGGGAUAACAGUUAGAAAUGACUGCUAAUACCGCAUAAGACCGCGGAACCGCAUGGUUCUGAGGUAAAAACUCCGGUGGUGUAAGAUGGGCCCGCGUCUGAUUAGGUAGUUGGUGAGGUAACGGCUCACCAAGCCGACGAUCAGUAGCCGACCUGAGAGGGUGACCGGCCACAUUGGGACUGAGACACGGCCCAG
RNAcentral lists this ribosomal RNA (324 nucleotides) under uncultured bacterium. Its description in RNAcentral is "bacterial SSU rRNA". It matches the Rfam family "Bacterial small subunit ribosomal RNA", at positions 28 to 334 of the family's 1533-position model. The record is from RNAcentral.